GACGAACGCUGGCGGCGUGCUUAACACAUGCAAGUCGAACGAUGAAGCCGGAGCUUGCUCUGGUGAAUUAGUGGCGGACGGGUGAGUAACACGUGAGUAACCUGCCCUUGACUCCGGGCUCACUGCUAGAAAUGUUAGCUAAUACCGGAUACGACCCUCGGAGGCAUCUCCAGGGGGUGGAAAGAAUUUCGGUCAAGGAUGGACUCGCGGCCUAUCAGCUAGUUGGUGAGGUAACGGCUCACCAAGGCGACGACGGGUAGCCGGGCUGAGAGGGUGACCGGCCACACUGGGACUGAGACACGGCCCAGGCUCCUACGGGAUGCAGCAGUGGUGAAUAUUGCACAAUGGGCGCAAGCCUGAUGCAGCAACGCCGCGUGAGGGAUGACGGCCUUCGGGUUGUAAACCUCUUUUAGUAGGGAAGAAGCGAAAGUGACGGUACCUGCAGAAAAAGCACCGGCUAACUACGUGCCAGCCGCCGCAGUAA
RNAcentral lists this ribosomal RNA (484 nucleotides) under uncultured bacterium. RNAcentral's name for it is "partial 16S ribosomal RNA". It matches the Rfam family "Bacterial small subunit ribosomal RNA", at positions 28 to 523 of the family's 1533-position model. The record is from RNAcentral.